UACGGGGGGGGCAAGCGUUAUUCGGAAUCACUGGGCUUAAAGGGCGCGUAGGCGGGCCGCCAGGUCCGGGGUGAAAGCCUCCAGCUCAACUGGAGAAGUGCCUUGGAUACCGGCGGCCUCGAGGGAGGUAGGGGCGUGCGGAACUUCGGGUGGAGCGGUGAAAUGCGUAGAUAUCCGAAGGAACACCGGUGGCGAAAGCGGCGCGCUGGAUCUCUUCUGACGCUGAGGCGCGAAAGCCAGGGGAGCAAACGGG
Molecule: ribosomal RNA, 253 nt
Filed under: uncultured bacterium
Lineage: Bacteria
Description: partial 16S ribosomal RNA
Rfam family: Bacterial small subunit ribosomal RNA
Source: RNAcentral